CUGCCGGGACGACCCGGCUAUGAACGGGUAUUUGCCAGGACGACCUGC
RNAcentral lists this non-coding RNA (48 nucleotides) under Marivita geojedonensis. RNAcentral's name for it is "Guanidine-II sequence". It matches the Rfam family "Guanidine-II riboswitch aptamer (mini-ykkC)". From Rfam's summary of the family: Simpler in structure and has fewer highly conserved nucleotide positions than the ykkC-yxkD leader. Lineage: Bacteria; Pseudomonadati; Pseudomonadota; Alphaproteobacteria; Rhodobacterales; Roseobacteraceae. The record is from Rfam by way of RNAcentral.